Small nuclear RNA from Phyllostomus hastatus (greater spear-nosed bat), 102 nucleotides. Lineage: Eukaryota; Metazoa; Chordata; Mammalia; Chiroptera; Phyllostomidae. The record is from RefSeq and is a predicted model, not a curated record.
CUGAUCACUUCUGCAGCACAUGUACUAAAACUGGGAUGAAAGAGAUUAGCAUGGCCCCUGCACAAGGAUGACAUGCAAAUUCGUGAAGCAUUCUAGAAAACC